This 3223-nucleotide unclassified non-coding RNA is filed under the name Camponotus floridanus (Florida carpenter ant). Its description in RNAcentral is "potassium voltage-gated channel protein Shaker, transcript variant X3". The stretch from base 2838 to 2958 matches the Rfam family "Potassium channel RNA editing signal". Lineage: Eukaryota; Metazoa; Arthropoda; Insecta; Hymenoptera; Formicidae. The record is from RNAcentral.
AUUUAUUGUUAGCUGCAAUAAGUUAAUAUUGCUUGAGUGAGAGAAAAAACAUGAAAAAAAAAAGAAGGAAAGAAUUGUUUACGAACCGCAUAGUGCGUGCGUGGCUGGGAAGAGGUUAAUUAUCAAGAUUGGCAUGUCGGUUUACUCGGCAUAUCUUCUACCAACUAAUCGAGGUUAUCCCACUGCCCCUGUUUCACUCUGAACAAUUCACCCCCGCGACUCUCCUUGACCACCCAUACUCGACACUGGCGUCUCGUGGUCUGCGGUGCUGCCACCAAUAGCUUCCUUCGAAAAUCAGGAACAUGGCGCGUGAGGGUGAAGGGGGUAGUGGCAGUUUAGAAGCGAGGACAGCAUGUUCACGCGAAGGAAUCAUAUCAAUCGUGAUAUCUGUAUUCUUCACAACACUAAUCUAUCCCUAUUAAUCUUGAAUUGCAUUAUGAAUUUUUCCGCUAUGUUAUUCUCAAUUAUUCAUUGGAUUGGUUUACCGUAAUGGCGGACUUAUUCACCCCAACGUGUUUCCAUUUGCACAAUAUGUGAAAUUGUAACCGUGGCUUGGUGCUAACAGGAUUUUCUUCCGUUCGAUUGAACUUCGGUGAUACUCCCUGUGCGUCGGUCUCGAUUCGCGUCUCACCCUAGUCAAUCUCCAUCUCUUUCGCUCGAUGCGCGGUAAGCGUGUCGUCAUCACCCACCCUUUCCCAAUUUCCGUACCUCGUUACAUCGCACCCUGUAUAAGUGGUGCUGCCACCGUGCGGCGCGAUACAGGGCGUAUCACCGGAACAGUGGGACGCGGAGGGUGUUGCGUCGCAUCUUGUCGAGUGAGUCGGCACGAUCGCGGGACAGAAGUAGGAUCGCGUCCUCCAGUAUCAGUGCACGUUGUCGUGCGCGUCAUUUCCCCUCCUGUCACGAGGGUCACUUCUCCCUGGUGCUCCCUUUCCCUUGUCCUUGAGCGCGACUUAACCCCUUCCGGAAAUCGGCGGAGUGGCGUGUGCGAGUCAGGAUAAAAGGAAUAGACAAUCGCUUAGUAGUGACGCGUGCAUGAGGCCGGGGAAGCCGGCGUGCCGGGUUCCGUCCCGGCUACGCGGCGGUAAGUUCUCGGGCCCUUCGUCGCAGUCAUUUUCCCUGCGUUCGCAGAGCGCGCCGCGAAUCGGUGAUCGCAAAGCCGAGAGGAAAAAGGCUGCCGAGAGGAAAAGGUUGGCAUUUACCGAGGGCGAGCGGAAGGUGCGCGGGAUCGUCGGCAGGGGCAGCCACGGAGGUCGGAGAAGUGGAGUCAUCGCGGGUGGCGAUCAUCGCGGGUUUGAAUGGGUGGGCCGGGCGCCGGUAGGGUUACCAGGCACGAGCUGAACGCGGUGCCCCAGAGCCACGUCGGUCACGGGGAACGUGUCCUUGGCGAGCCACCAGCAUCAGGCUGCCGCUGUCAUCCCUCGGAGCGAUUGUCCGCCGGUGCCGUCCGUUCCUCCGCCCAACUGCCACCCUCGCCACCGCCGCUUACCUCUUUACAUAUCGGCAACAACAACGGCACUGUGUGCGCUGUCAUCAGCGCUAACAACAUCAUCACCACCACCACUGCAAAACAGAGUGAUAGAAAAGCUAAAAAGGCGGCCGCCAUGUCUUCACCGCCGAAACAUCGUAGGGGCUUCGACCCCAACGACCCAUCGGAAUUUCACCGCUAUCGUCGUGUUAAGACGAAGCAGCGAUCGCUGCCGAAACUCAGCAGCCAGGACGAGGAUGGAACGAAUCCUCACACCCAAUACACAGGCGUCACACAUUUCGAGCCCAUACCGCACGAUCAUGAUUUCUGCGAGAGGGUCGUCAUCAACGUGAGCGGGCUACGGUUUGAGACACAACUGCGUACGCUGAACCAAUUUCCGGACACGCUGCUCGGCGAUCCGACACGGCGGCUCCGAUACUUCGAUCCGCUACGCAACGAAUACUUCUUCGAUCGGAAUCGACCUUCCUUCGAUGCUAUACUCUACUACUAUCAGAGCGGCGGCCGCCUACGCCGCCCGGUCAACGUCCCGCUCGAUGUCUUUUCCGAAGAGAUCAAGUUCUACGAGCUGGGCGAGAUGGCGACUAAUAAGUUCAGGGAAGACGAAGGCUUCAUCAAGGAGGAGGAAAAGCCGCUGCCGUCGCACGAGUUUCAGAGGAAGGUUUGGUUGUUGUUUGAGUAUCCGGAGAGUUCGCAAGGCGCCCGGGUGGUCGCCAUAAUCUCCGUGUUCGUGAUCCUCCUAUCGAUCGUGAUCUUCUGCCUGGAGACGCUGCCCGAGUUCAAGCAUUACAAAGUCUUCAAUACGACGACAAACGGCACGAAGAUCGAGGAGGACGAAGUGCCGGAUAUCACGGACCCGUUCUUCCUAAUAGAGACUAUUUGUAUCAUCUGGUUCACAUUCGAGUUAAUAGUGCGCUUCCUCGCCUGCCCAAACAAAUUCAACUUCUUCCGUGACGUAAUGAACAUCAUCGAUAUCAUCGCGAUCAUUCCGUACUUCAUCACCCUCGCCACGGUAGUGGCCGAGGAGGAGAACCCGCUGGAUGUACCUAAGGCGCCAGUAAGCCCGCAGGACAAGAGUACGAACCAAGCAAUGUCCCUGGCGAUACUCAGGGUGAUCAGGCUAGUCAGAGUGUUCCGGAUAUUCAAGUUAUCUAGGCAUAGUAAAGGCCUCCAAAUCCUCGGGCGGACUCUCAAGGCCUCCAUGAGGGAACUCGGAUUGCUCAUCUUUUUCCUCUUCAUCGGUGUGGUGCUAUUCUCGUCGGCGGUAUACUUCGCGGAGGCCGGCUCCGAGAAUUCGUUCUUCAAAUCCAUUCCGGACGCGUUCUGGUGGGCCGUUGUCACGAUGACGACCGUGGGCUAUGGUGACAUGACGUAUGAUGCCCGUGGGAGUCUGGGGAAAGAUUGUGGGCUCAUUAUGCGCGAUUGCCGGUGUCUUGACGAUCGCUCUACCUGUCCCCGUUAUCGUCUCCAACUUCAACUACUUCUAUCAUCGUGAGACUGACCAGGAGGAAAUGCAGUCGCAAAACUUCAAUCAUGUGACCAGCUGCCCGUACCUUCCUGGCACUUUAGGUCUGAAGAAAAUCUCGAUGUCGGAAUCCUCGUCGGAUAUAAUGGAACUGGAGGAGGGCACCUUGUUUACUCAUCCAGAGAUAACUAAGAAGUCAAAUUGCAACCCUCGCCACAAUAACAAUAUCAAUCCAGCCUGCAUGAGCAUCGAGACUGACGUUUGACUACUAG